Molecule: ribosomal RNA, 466 nt
Filed under: uncultured bacterium
Lineage: Bacteria
Description: partial 16S ribosomal RNA
Rfam family: Bacterial small subunit ribosomal RNA
Source: RNAcentral
GACGAACGCUGGCGGCGCGCCUAACACAUGCAGGUCGAACGAGCGAGAGAGAGCUUGCUUUCUCGAGCGAGUGGCGAACGGGUGAGUAACGCGUGAGGAACCUGCCUCAAAGAGGGGGACAACAGUUGGAAACGACUGCUAAUACCGCAUAAGCCCACGGCUCGGCAUCGAGCAGGGGGAAAAGGAGCAAUCCGCUUUGAGAUGUCCUCGCGUCCGAUUAGCUAGUUGGUGAGGUAACGGCCCACCAAGGCGACGAUCGGUAGCCGGACUGAGAGGUUGAACGGCCACAUUGGGACUGAGACACGGCCCAGACUCCUACGGGAGGCAGCAGUGGGGAAUAUUGCACAAUGGGGGAAACCCUGAUGCAGCGACGCCGCGUGGAGGAAGAAGGUCUUCGGAUUGUAAACUCCUGUUGUUGGGGAAGAUAAUGACGGUACCCAACAAGGAAGUGACGGCUAACUACGUG